UGGUGCCCGUGGAGGUCUGGACCUGAGGCCUGUGCUCAUCACGUGGAUAGAAAACACUCUGACACCAUUCUGGAGAUGUUGACUGUGACCUCAGAGGCCAACUGGACCACACAGCUGCAGCAGGAGUGAGGGAGAGGAGUCUUCAUCCAGCUUCAAAGAAAACAUCCAGUUAGAAACCCUGCAGCAACCCGACCCAAAACUGUGUCUUCUUGUUGGCCUCAACGUUGAAGUGUCAAACGUCCAACAUCUGGAAAGGAAACCACGCCAGUGUACUGUGAUGUUUCACCAACAUGUGGCAGACGCUGGUCCUGCCUUUCAUGCUGACAUCAGCAGAGAGCCCCGCCUACCUCAAA
Molecule: non-coding RNA, 353 nt
Organism: Maylandia zebra (zebra mbuna)
Lineage: Eukaryota; Metazoa; Chordata; Actinopteri; Cichliformes; Cichlidae
Source: RefSeq, a predicted model, not a curated record